Molecule: ribosomal RNA, 456 nt
Filed under: uncultured bacterium
Lineage: Bacteria
Description: SSU rRNA
Rfam family: Bacterial small subunit ribosomal RNA
Source: RNAcentral
AGAAUCAACGCUGGCGGCGUGCCUAACACAUGCAAGUCGCACGAGAAAGGGACUUCGGUCCUAAGUACAGUGGCGCACGGGUGAGUAACACGUGAAUUAUCUACCUCCGAGUGGGGAAUAACUGAGAGAAAUCUUAGCUAAUACCGCAUAACACUUACGAGUCAAAGCAGCAAUGCGCUUGGAGAGGAGUUCGCGGCAGAUUAGUUAGUUGGCGGGGUAAUGGCCCACCAAGACGAUGAUCUGUAUCCGGCCUGAGAGGGCGCACGGACACACUGGAACUGAAACACGGUCCAGACUCCUACGGGAGGCAGCAGUGGGGAAUUUUGCGCAAUGGGGAAACCCUGACGCAGCAACGCCGCGUGGAGGAUGAAAUAUCUUGGUAUGUAAACUCCUUUCGAUGGGAAGAUAAUGACGGUACCAUAGAAGAAGCCCGGCUAACUUCGUGCCAGCAGCCGC